UUACAAUGGCAGGUACAGAGGGAUGCUACCGGGCGAACCGGAUGCGGAUCUCGAAAGCCUGUCCCAGUUCGGACUGGAGUCUGCAACCCGACUCCACGAAGUUGGAUUCGCUAGUAAUCGCGCAUCAGCCAUGGCGCGGUGAAUACGUUCCCGGGCCUUGUACACACCGCCCGUCAAGCCAUGGGAGCCGGGGGCGCCUGAAGUCCGGGACCGCGAGGACCGGCCUAGGGCGAAACUGGUAACUGGGGCUAAGUCGUAACAAGGUACC
RNAcentral lists this ribosomal RNA (268 nucleotides) under uncultured bacterium. RNAcentral's name for it is "partial 16S ribosomal RNA". It matches the Rfam family "Bacterial small subunit ribosomal RNA", at positions 1225 to 1500 of the family's 1533-position model. The record is from RNAcentral.